Molecule: long non-coding RNA, 1901 nt
Organism: Cuculus canorus (common cuckoo)
Lineage: Eukaryota; Metazoa; Chordata; Aves; Cuculiformes; Cuculidae
Exons: 4
Source: RefSeq, a predicted model, not a curated record
UGUUACGGCAGCGACAACAGCGCGAUCAACAGAGCGGCUGUGGCGAGGGCGAUGCCCGCCGCGCUCCGAGCAGCCAGAAACCCGCUGGCAGGUCUGCAGCGGCUAUUUUUGAACGGCCCGAGCAAGAUAAAACUUGAAUCUCGGGGGAGGAGGGGGAGAGGCGCUGAUUUACAGCCGCUGUAAGGACUGAACCGUGACCAUUUUAUGUCUGAUGGCAGCAUUUUGAAGAAAAGUCACUUGUGGAGCAAUCAGCAGAUUCCCUCUCCACCUCUUCUGAUACAGUUCCUUGAAAAUACCUAAAAGUACAAGAUGUUAAAACACUAUGUCAUAUGGAUCAGCUGUUUGUCAGCCCAACUGAAGACAUUGACACUGCAGUUUCAUCCCCCAAAAAUUAGGAGUGGAGGAGAGACUAGGCUUAAAAAAGCAGGUCAAUAAGGAGAGUAACCUACUAAAGGAACUGCAGCGUAUACAUUAAAGAAACCAAACCAGCAGGAGGAAACUUCAGGAGGGGAAAGGAGGAUUAGGAGGAAGGCUCUGAAUCACAGGCUCAUAGAAGGGUUGAGGUAGGAUGGGACCUCUGAAGGUCAACUUGUCCAACCCCCCUGCUCAAGCAGGGCCACCCAGAGCCAGCUGCUUAUGUCUGUGUCUGGCUCCCAGCCUCGCUCUUGAGAGUGAGAGGCUCUGUUCGAGAGGAGUAGCUGCAGCUGUCUUACCUCAGCCCAGGCAUGCUGCAGGACAUAGUCCUUUUCUAAACUAAUUUCACAGCCUGUCUUUUCCGAAAUGUUCAACCUUUCCAUAAAGGCUUUCAGUCAGAGCCUGAUGGCAUCUGACUUUAGCUUUUCUGAUGCCAUAGUCUGACAAAGGUGGCUUCCAUUUUGUCAGAGCUUUGUUCCCACUGCCAUAUCGUAGCCUGCAAGCACAGCAAAAUGUCUCUACCAGAAGUGAGUGUGCAAACAAACAAAAGAACGUUGCAAAAAUAUUCAGCGUGAAGGAAAGCCACACCCGUCAUCUAAGCCCUUCCAAGUCUGUUUUUUCUCUGUAUUUAUAUACAAAUGUUCCAGGUUUGUUGGUUUAUUAAUUGCAAAUUUGCCUGUGUGAGCCUCUUGCACAUUUGUUAUGGUCUUUAUAAAGAUAUUCCUUGCAGAUGCCUUGAGGUCACACUUAAAACCAUGGUGUGAACUAUGCCAGACAUUGAGUUUGUGAAAGAGCUUCUUCCAGGACCGUGUGUGAUGUCUGCCUCUCUGCGCAGAGCAAUUCAGAAACAAGGUGCAACUACUGCAGGCCUCUCCCCGCUGCUCAGCAGCCACCACGUCUCCUCUCGGUCACGGCUGAUUCCCACAAGAUGGCACGGCACGAUUUAAUCUGAGCUUAAUCUGAGAUUUUAAAUGAUGACUCCUUUACUGACGCAAAAGUCUGCCAGCACACCGCCUCACUACACAUCUCUCACGAUCCACUUCUCUCACAGAGCGUCUUUGCAAUUUUCCCUGAAUCAAAGUAUUGCCCAUCUCUCCCUGUUGACAGCAAGUUUCUUUGCAGCAUUUCUGCAAAACAAAGUUGCAAUAACCUGAAAAUGAACGUAGUUUUAGGUUGUGUGAUCUACCUGAAACACUACUCAGGCAGCAGGUGACUGAAAUGAGAAGGAGCUGGGGAAAGAAAAAUGAAGACAUAAAUUAAGAGCGUGUUUUGGUUUAAGAUUUUUCAGCUCUAAUGGUUGUCAGUGUUAACAGUGCUUUGGUUUAAAUCAGUCUUAAAACAGACUUUGCCUAAAUCUUUAGAAAGAAAUUUAAACCAAAAUGGAAAAUUAACACUGGUUCAAUCAGUGUAACCCCUCAAUUUCAUAAAAUCUCCAUUAUCAAGUUGGAAAAAGAAGAAAUAAAAUUACAUUUCUGAUCAGAGACGAA